Molecule: ribosomal RNA, 123 nt
Filed under: Bombyx mori (domestic silkworm)
Lineage: Eukaryota; Metazoa; Arthropoda; Insecta; Lepidoptera; Bombycidae
Description: partial ribosomal RNA
Source: RNAcentral
UAACGCCCUUUGAGCGAAAGGGAAUCCGGUUCCUAUUCCGGAACCCGGCAGCGGAACCGUUUCAAUAAUCGUUCCCUCGUCUUUAAAAACGAGUGUUCGACGGGGUAACCCAAAGUGGCCUGA